This 72-nucleotide transfer RNA is filed under the name Camelus bactrianus (Bactrian camel). It matches the Rfam family "tRNA". From Rfam's summary of the family: Transfer RNA (tRNA) molecules are approximately 80 nucleotides in length. Their secondary structure includes four short double-helical elements and three loops (D, anti-codon, and T loops). RNAcentral also lists the same sequence under 2 other names. Lineage: Eukaryota; Metazoa; Chordata; Mammalia; Artiodactyla; Camelidae. The record is from Rfam by way of RNAcentral.
GAAGGUAUAGCUCAGUGGCAGAGCGAUUGCUUAGCAUGCACAAGGUCCUGGGUUCAAUCCCCAGUACCUCCA